UAGGCAGGUGCGGCGUGCUAUACAUGCAGUCGAGCGGACAGAUGGGAGCUUGCUCCCUGAUGUUAGCGGCGGACGGGUGAGUAACACGUGGGUAACCUGCCUGUAAGACUGGGAUAACUCCGGGAAACCGGGGCUAAUACCGGAUGGUUGUUUGAACCGCAUGGUUCAAACAUAAAAGGUGGCUUCGGCUACCACUUACAGAUGGACCCGCGGCGCAUUAGCUAGUUGGUGAGGUAACGGCUCACCAAGGCAACGAUGCGUAGCCGACCUGAGAGGGUGAUCGGCCACACUGGGACUGAGACACGGCCCAGACUCCUACGGGAGGCAGCAGUAGGGAAUCUUCCGCAAUGGACGAAAGUCUGACGGAGCAACGCCGCGUGAGUGAUGAAGGUUUUCGGAUCGUAAAGCUCUGUUGUUAGGGAAGAACAAGUACCGUUCGAAUAGGGCGGUACCUUGACGGUACCUAACCAGAAAGCCACGGCUAACUACGUGCCAGCAGCCGCGGUAAUACGUAGUGGCAAGCGUUGUCCGGAAUUAUUGGGCGUAAAGGGCUCGCAGGCGGUUUCUUAAGUCUGAUGUGAAAGCCCCCGGCUCAACCGGGGAGGGUCAUUGGAAACUGGGGAACUUGAGUGCAGAAAAGGAGAGUGGAAUUCCACGUGUAGCGUGUGAAAUGCAUAGAGAUGUGGAGGAACGCCACUUUUCGAAGGCGACGCUUUGGGUCUGUAACUGGACGCUUGAGGAAGCGAAAGCAUGGUGAAGCGAAGCAGUAGUAGGAUACCCUGGGGAGUCCCACGCCCUUAAAACGAUUAAAGUGCUAGAGGUGUUGAGGGGGUUUUCUCUCCCCCAGUAC
This 850-nucleotide ribosomal RNA is filed under the name Streptomyces sp. RNAcentral's name for it is "bacterial SSU rRNA". It matches the Rfam family "Bacterial small subunit ribosomal RNA", at positions 32 to 846 of the family's 1533-position model. The record is from RNAcentral. Lineage: Bacteria; Bacillati; Actinomycetota; Actinomycetes; Kitasatosporales; Streptomycetaceae.